GGCCGGUUAGCUCAGUUGCUCAGAGCAUGGUGCUGAUAAUGCUGAGGUUGCAGGUUUGAUCACUGCACAGGCCC
Molecule: transfer RNA, 74 nt
Organism: Pelodiscus sinensis (Chinese soft-shelled turtle)
Lineage: Eukaryota; Metazoa; Chordata; Testudines; Trionychidae
Rfam family: tRNA
About the family: Transfer RNA (tRNA) molecules are approximately 80 nucleotides in length. Their secondary structure includes four short double-helical elements and three loops (D, anti-codon, and T loops).
Source: Rfam